UGGGGAAUUUUGGACAAUGGGGGCAACCCUGAUCCAGCCAUCCCGCGUGUGCGAUGAAGGCCUUCGGGUUGUAAAGCACUUUUGGCAGGGAAGAAACAGCCUGGGCUAAUAUCCCGGGCGACUGACGGUACCUGCAGAAUAAGCACCGGCUAACUACGUGCCAGCAGCCGCGGUAAUACGCAGGGUGCAAGCGUUAAUCGGAAUUACUGGGCGUAAAGCGUGCGCAGGCGGUUCGGAAAGAAAGGUGUGAAAUCCCAGGGCUUAACCUUGGAACUGCACUUUUAACUACCGGGCUAGAGUACGUCAGAGGGGGGUAGAAUUCCACGUGUAGCAGUGAAAUGCGUAGAGAUGUGGAGGAAUACCGAUGGCGAAGGCAGCCCCCUGGGAUGAUACUGACGCUCAUGCACGAAAGCGUGGGGAGCAAACA
This 427-nucleotide ribosomal RNA is filed under the name uncultured bacterium. RNAcentral's name for it is "bacterial SSU rRNA". It matches the Rfam family "Bacterial small subunit ribosomal RNA", at positions 355 to 774 of the family's 1533-position model. The record is from RNAcentral.